RNAcentral lists this ribosomal RNA (239 nucleotides) under uncultured bacterium. Its description in RNAcentral is "partial 16S ribosomal RNA". It matches the Rfam family "Bacterial small subunit ribosomal RNA", at positions 94 to 334 of the family's 1533-position model. The record is from RNAcentral.
AGUGGCGGACGGGUGAGUAACGCGUGGGUAACCUGCCUCAUACAGGGGAUAACAGUUAGAAAUGACUGCUAAUACCGCAUAAGACCACAGCACCGCAUGGUGCAGGGGUAAAAACUCCGGUGGUGUGAGAUGGACCCGCGUCUGAUUAGGUAGUUGGUGGGGUAACGGCCUACCAAGCCGACGAUCAGUAGCCGACCUGAGAGGGUGACCGGCCACAUUGGGACUGAGACACGGCCCAA